CCUACGGGAGGCAGCAGUGGGGAAUAUUGCACAAUGGGGGGAACCCUGAUGCAGCGACGCCGCGUGAGUGAAGGAGUGUUUCGGUAUGUAAAGCCCUGUCAGCAGGGAAGAAAAUGACGGUACCUGACCAAGACGCCCCGGCUAACUACGUGCCAGCAGCCGCGGUAAUACGUAGGGGGCAAGCGUUAUCCGGAUUUACUGGGUGUAACGGGGGCGUAGACGGCAGAGCAAGUCUGGAGUGAAAGGCGGGGGCCCAACCCCCGGACUGCUCUGGAAACUGCCUGGCUGGAGUGCAGGAGGGGUAAGUGGAAUGCCUAGUGUAGCGGUGAAAUGCGUAGAUAUUAGGAGGAACACCAGUGGCGAAGGCGGCUUACUGGACUGUGACUGACGUUGAGGCUCGAAGGCGUGGGGAGCAAACAGGAUUAGAUACCCUAGUAGUC
RNAcentral lists this ribosomal RNA (440 nucleotides) under uncultured bacterium. RNAcentral describes it as "partial 16S ribosomal RNA". It matches the Rfam family "Bacterial small subunit ribosomal RNA", at positions 338 to 795 of the family's 1533-position model. The record is from RNAcentral.